Molecule: ribosomal RNA, 303 nt
Filed under: uncultured bacterium
Lineage: Bacteria
Description: partial 16S ribosomal RNA
Rfam family: Bacterial small subunit ribosomal RNA
Source: RNAcentral
AGCAGUAGCCACGGGAAUACGUAGGUGGCAAGCGUUGUCCGGAAUUAUUGGGCGUAAAGGGCUCGCAGGCGGUUUCUUAAGUCUGACGUGAAAGCCCCCGGCUCAACCGGGGAGGGUCAUUGGAAACUGGGAAACUCGAGUGCAGAAGAGGAGAGUGGAAUUCCACGUGUAGCGGUGAAAUGCGUAGAGAUGUGGAGGAACACCAGUGGCGAAGGCGGCGACCUGGUCCGAUACUGACGCUGAGGCGCGAAAGCGUGGGGAGCAAACAGGAUUAGAUACCCCCGUAGUCCCUGUCUCUUAUAC